AAAGAGUGCGUAAUAGCUCACUAGUCGAGAGGUCCUGCGCCGAAAAUGUCCGGGGCUGAAACACACUACCGAAGCUUGGGAAUUGACGAAUGUUAAUUGGUAGAGGAGCAUUCUUAACGGGGCGAAGCUGUACCGGAAGGAGCAGUGGACUGUUAAGAAGAGAGAAUGCCGGAAUGAGUAGCGAGAGGAAGGUGAGAAUCCUUCCGGCCGAAUAUCUAAGGUUUCCAGAGUAAAGCUGAUCUGCUCUGGGUAAGUCGGGGCCUAAGGCGAGGUCGAAAGACGUAGUCGAUGGAUAACAGGUAAAGAUUCCUGUACUAUAUCAUAACAGAACUGUGGGGACGCAGACAGAGAGCAUAAGCCGGGAAUGGAAAAACCGGUACAAGCGAGGUAGGAGUGCAUCAGGCAAAUCCGGUGCACAAUCUGAAGACGUGAUGUGGGGCGUAAAGCCGGAAGUAUGUGAGCUGGCUGCCAAGAAAAGCCGCUAUUGUUUAUGAUAUACCCGUACCGUAAACCGACACAGGUGGAUGAGGAGAGAAUCCUAAGGCCGACGGGAGAAGCAUUGUUAAGGAACUCGGCAAAAUGACUCCGUAACUUCGGGAGAAGGAGUGCCAGUGAGAGCUGGCCGCAGAGAAUUGGCCCAAGCAACUGUUUAGCAAAAACACAGGUCUAUGCAAAACCGAAAGGUGAAGUAUAUGGGCUGACGCCUGCCCGGUGCUGGAAGGUUAAGGGGAGAGGUUAGCGGUAACGCGAAGCUUUGAACUUAAGCCCCAGUAAACGGCGGCCGUAACUAUAACGGUCCUAAGGUAGCGAAAUUCCUUGUCGGGUAAGUUCCGACCCGCACGAAAGGCGUAAUGAUUUGGGCACUGUCUCAACAAUGCACCCGGUGAAAUUGAAAUACCAGUGAAGAUGCUGGUUACCUGCGCCAGGACGGAAAGACCCCAUGGAGCUUUACUCCAGCUUGAUACUGGGAUUCGAUAUUGCAUGUACAGGAUAGGUGGGAGACUAGGAAGUGGUGACGCCAGUUGCCGCAGAGUCGCUGUUGGGAUACCACCCUUGCAGUAUUGGAUUUCUAACCAGCAGCCGUGAACCGGCUGGGGGACAAUGUCAGGUGGGGAGUUUGACUGGGGCGGUCGCCUCCGAAAGGGUAUCGGAGGCGCUCAAAGGUUCCCUCAGAAUGGUUGGAAACCAUUCGAAGAGUGCAAAGGCAGAAGGGAGCUUGACUGCGACACCGACGGGUGGAGCAGGUACGAAAGUAGGACUUAGUGAUCCGGUGGUAUAAAGUGGGAUUGCCAUCGCUCAACGGAUAAAAGCUACCCUGGGGAUAACAGGCUUAUCACUCCCAAGAGUUCACAUCGACGGAGUGGUUUGGCACCUCGAUGUCGGCUCAUCGCAUCCUGGGGCUGAAGUAGGUCCCAAGGGUUGGGCUGUUCGCCCAUUAAAGCGGUACGCGAGCUGGGUUCAGAACGUCGUGAGACAGUUCGGUCCCUAUC
Molecule: ribosomal RNA, 1490 nt
Filed under: human gut metagenome
Description: bacterial LSU rRNA
Rfam family: Bacterial large subunit ribosomal RNA
Source: RNAcentral